AACCGCCGUAUACGAGACCCGUACGUACGGUGGUGUGAGGGGUGCACUCCGUCAUUAGAUGGCGGAGCCAUCCACUCAAU
RNAcentral lists this unclassified non-coding RNA (80 nucleotides) under Arenibacter nanhaiticus. Lineage: Bacteria; Pseudomonadati; Bacteroidota; Flavobacteriia; Flavobacteriales; Flavobacteriaceae. The record is from RNAcentral.